GCCCUGGUGGCCUAGUGGUUAUAUCAUACACCUCGGAAGCGGGAGGUUGCGGGUUCGAACCCCUGCCGAGUCA
This is a non-coding RNA of Potamilus streckersoni, 73 nucleotides long. The record is from the annotation of a GenBank genome assembly. Lineage: Eukaryota; Metazoa; Mollusca; Bivalvia; Unionida; Unionidae.